Molecule: ribosomal RNA, 876 nt
Filed under: Nemania aenea var. aureolutea
Lineage: Eukaryota; Fungi; Ascomycota; Sordariomycetes; Xylariales; Xylariaceae
Description: partial large subunit ribosomal RNA
Rfam family: Eukaryotic large subunit ribosomal RNA
Source: RNAcentral
GAAAAGAAACCAACAGGGAUUGCCCUAGUAACGGCGAGUGAAGCGGCAACAGCUCAAAUUUGAAAUCUGGCCCUCGGGUCCGAGUUGUAAUUUGUAGAGGAUGCUUUUGGCGCGGUGCCUUCCGAGUUCCCUGGAACGGGACGCCUUAGAGGGUGAGAGCCCCGUACGGUUGGACACCAAGCCUCUGUAAAGCUCCUUCGACGAGUCGAGUAGUUUGGGAAUGCUGCUCUAAAUGGGAGGUAAAUUUCUUCUAAAGCUAAAUAUUGGCCAGAGACCGAUAGCGCACAAGUAGAGUGAUCGAAAGAUGAAAAGCACUUUGAAAAGAGGGUUAAACAGCACGUGAAAUUGUUGAAAGGGAAGCGUUUGCGACCAGACCUUUUCCUGGCGGAUCAUCCGGUGGUUUCCACCGGUGCACUUCGCCAGGUCGAGGCCAGCAUCGGUUUCCGCAGGGGGAUAAAAGCUCAGGGAACGUAGCUCCUCCGGGAGUGUUAUAGCCCUCCGCACAAUACCCUUGGGGGGACCGAGGACCGCGCCUUCGGGCAAGGAUGCUGGCAUAAUGGUUGUCAACGACCCGUCUUGAAACACGGACCAAGGAGUCGAACAUUUGUGCGAGUGUUUGGGUGUUAAACCCUCACGCGUAAUGAAAGUGAACGGAGGUGAGAGCCUUUUUAGGUGCAUCAUCGACCGAUCCUGAUGUCUUCGGAUGGAUUUGAGUAAGAGCAUAACUGUUCGGACCCGAAAGAUGGUGAACUAUGCGUGGAUAGGGUGAAGCCAGAGGAAACUCUGGUGGAGGCUCGCAGCGGUUCUGACGUGCAAAUCGAUCGUCAAAUCUGCGCAUGGGGGCGAAAGACUUAUCGAACCAUCUAGUAGCUGGUU